Brachypodium distachyon (stiff brome) is the source of this 94-nucleotide non-coding RNA. Lineage: Eukaryota; Viridiplantae; Streptophyta; Magnoliopsida; Poales; Poaceae. The record is from Rfam.
AUGAUACUCCCUCCGUCCCAAAAUAAGUGGCGUGAAAUUGUUUAGAUUCUUAUACAAAUCCACGUCACUUAUUUUGGGACGGAGGGAGUACUUU